Molecule: ribosomal RNA, 171 nt
Filed under: Panulirus japonicus (Japanese spiny lobster)
Lineage: Eukaryota; Metazoa; Arthropoda; Malacostraca; Decapoda; Palinuridae
Description: partial 16S rRNA
Source: RNAcentral
UCUUGAUGAUUAAGAUAAUAAAUUUUAGGCAGUAGUAAUAAGUUUAAAUUUAAUGUGUUAAUUAUUUUGUUGGGGCGACAGGAGUAUAAGAAGUAACUGCUUUGAAAAAAUAAUUAAUUAUUUUUAUGAUGUUUUGUUUGUGAUCCUUCUAUGAAGAUAAUAGAUCAAGUU